Molecule: long non-coding RNA, 401 nt
Filed under: Calidris pygmaea (Spoon-billed sandpiper)
Lineage: Eukaryota; Metazoa; Chordata; Aves; Charadriiformes; Scolopacidae
Description: lncRNA (ENSCPGG00000012526.1)
Source: RNAcentral
AAUCAUUUCAAAGAAAGCGGCAGCUUGGCAUGGGGAAAAGUUGAGGUCAUCUUGGGCUUUUUUGCCUACAAGCAAUCACUGAGUCACCUUUUUUCUUUCGGAGUUUGAAAAAAAGUGUGAUGGGACAGGAGGCAGAAACAAAAUUUGAAGCUGGAGCUAGUGGCCUCGAUGAACAAAGAGUUGAAGCAGACAUAUCCUGGACACACAAAAGGACAGCUGAAGAGAAUCUGAACAAGCAAUGAACAACAGUGGAUUAGACACAGACAUGGAAGACAACAUUUCAGGGCAUGUGGAGAAGGAAAAUUAAUCACUUAGCCAUCAAAAAAAAUGAACAGUACUUCAGUCAGAUGCACAUGGACAGCAUAAAGCGAACUGAAAGGAUAUUGGCUUUGGAGAACAAU